UGGGGAAUAUUGGACAAUGGGCGAAAGCCUGAUCCAGCCAUGCCGCGUGUGUGAAGAAGGUCUUCGGAUUGUAAAGCACUUUAAGUUGGGAGGAAGGGCAGUAAGCGAAUACCUUGCUGUUUUGACGUUACCGACAGAAUAAGCACCGGCUAACUCUGUGCCAGCAGCCGCGGUAAUACAGAGGGUGCAAGCGUUAAUCGGAAUUACUGGGCGUAAAGCGCGCGUAGGUGGUUCGUUAAGUUGAAUGUGAAAGCCCCGGGCUCAACCUGGGAACUGCAUCCAAAACUGGCGAGAGAGAGUAGGGCAGAGGGUGGUGGAAUUUCCUGUGUAGCGGUGAAAUGCGUAGAUAUAGGAAGGAACACCAGUGGCGAAGGCGACCACCUGGGCUCAUACUGACACUGAGGUGCGAAAGCGUGGGGAGCAAACAGG
RNAcentral lists this ribosomal RNA (429 nucleotides) under Pseudomonadota bacterium. RNAcentral's name for it is "Proteobacteria bacterium partial 16S ribosomal RNA". It matches the Rfam family "Bacterial small subunit ribosomal RNA", at positions 355 to 776 of the family's 1533-position model. Lineage: Bacteria; Pseudomonadati; Pseudomonadota. The record is from RNAcentral.